UAAAGGAUAAAGCAACAAUUAUGCAGAGAGCUCUGAAUCUGAUGCGUGACCAGAAGAUGACCUCCUUAAUCUUGGGCUAGUCAUAAUCAGCUGGCUUUCCGAGUUCAUUCUCAAACCACGCCCACGAGAUGUCAGUUGUGGAGGUUUACAACCUCCUUUUGCUGUCCCUGCAUGACCAAUAUCAAUGAGAACUUUACCUGGUUGUCUACUUAUUUUCAGAUCUGUGGGUUUCCUUGAGGGGCGUGGUUUUCUGUUCGUGUGGUCAGGUGAUGUUAAGAACUUCCUUUCAGUGGGUGAUGGUAAUGUGGAUGAUGGAAAUGGAUCAUCCAUUGAGUUGAUGUUUUCAUCCCCACUGACUGAAGCUUUAUCACUUCCUGAUUCUGAAGGUUCUUUCUGAGUUGCUCUUGUUUUUUCUUUCUCAUAAACUUUAUAAACAAAUAUCUGAAAUGGAAUUUGCGCUAUUGCAGAUGAAUUGGUUGCAUUCCAAGAUGGAAAUUCCUUUACAAGAUUUGACUCCAUGUCACCAUAGUCCAUUGCUGGCAUAAGUGGGUCUGGUUCUCUAUUAUAAUCAGGGUUCAUAGCAAGGAAACGUUUCGCAUAGCGAAGGAUUCUGCAG
Molecule: long non-coding RNA, 616 nt
Filed under: Manihot esculenta (cassava)
Lineage: Eukaryota; Viridiplantae; Streptophyta; Magnoliopsida; Malpighiales; Euphorbiaceae
Description: long non-coding RNA (MESC_LNC000669)
Source: RNAcentral